AUACGUAGGAUGCAAGCGUUAUCCGGAUUUAUUGGGUUUAAGGGGUGCGUAGGCGGUUUGCUAAGCGGGAGGUGAAAUGCCGGCGCUCAACGUCGGAAGUGCCUCCCGAACUGGUGGACUUGAAUGACUCUGCCGUGGGAGGAAUGUGUAGUGUAGCGGUGAAAUGCUUAGAGAUUACACAGAACACCGAUUGCGAAGGCAUCUCACGAAGGGUUGAUUGACGCUGAGGCACGAAAGCGUGGGGAUCAAACAGGAUUAGAUACCCUGGUAGUCCACGCAGUAAACGAUGAUGGCUAACCGCUGGUUUAUUCGGAUCAGUGGCCAAGCGAAAGCGAUAAGCCAUCCACCUGGGGAGUACGACCGCAAGGUUGAAACUCAAAUGAAUUGACGGGG
Molecule: ribosomal RNA, 393 nt
Filed under: uncultured bacterium
Lineage: Bacteria
Description: partial 16S ribosomal RNA
Rfam family: Bacterial small subunit ribosomal RNA
Source: RNAcentral